GACCGAUGAAGACAAGAAGACCGG
Molecule: non-coding RNA, 24 nt
Filed under: Arabidopsis thaliana (thale cress)
Lineage: Eukaryota; Viridiplantae; Streptophyta; Magnoliopsida; Brassicales; Brassicaceae
Source: RNAcentral